This 533-nucleotide ribosomal RNA is filed under the name Klebsiella pneumoniae. Its description in RNAcentral is "bacterial SSU rRNA". It matches the Rfam family "Bacterial small subunit ribosomal RNA", at positions 777 to 1307 of the family's 1533-position model. The record is from RNAcentral. Lineage: Bacteria; Pseudomonadati; Pseudomonadota; Gammaproteobacteria; Enterobacterales; Enterobacteriaceae.
AUUAGAUACCCUGGUAGUCCACGCCGUAAACGAUGUCGAUUUGGAGGUUGUGCCCUUGAGGCGUGGCUUCCGGAGCUAACGCGUUAAAUCGACCGCCUGGGGAGUACGGCCGCAAGGUUAAAACUCAAAUGAAUUGACGGGGGCCCGCACAAGCGGUGGAGCAUGUGGUUUAAUUCGAUGCAACGCGAAGAACCUUACCUGGUCUUGACAUCCACAGAACUUUCCAGAGAUGCAUUGGUGCCUUCGGGAACUGUGAGACAGGUGCUGCAUGGCUGUCGUCAGCUCGUGUUGUGAAAUGUUGGGUUAAGUCCCGCAACGAGCGCAACCCUUAUCCUUUGUUGCCAGCGGUUAGGCCGGGAACUCAAAGGGAGACUGCCAGUGAUAAACUGGAGGAAGGUGGGGGAUGACGUCAAGUCAUCAUGGCCCUUACGACCAGGGCUACACACGUGCUACAAUGGCAUAUACAAAGAGAAGCGACCUCGCGAGAGCAAGCGGACCUCAUAAAGUAUGUCGUAGUCCGGAUUUGGAGUCUG